UACGAAGGGGGCUAGCGUUGUUCGGAUUUACUGGGCGUAAAGCGCACGUAGGCGGAUCGAUCAGUCAGGGGUGAAAUCCCAGAGCUCAACUCUGGAACUGCCUUUGAUACUGUCGAUCUGGAGUAUGGAAGAGGUGAGUGGAAUUCCGAGUGUAGAGGUGAAAUUCGUAGAUAUUCGGAGGAACACCAGUGGCGAAGGCGGCUCUGGACGGU
RNAcentral lists this ribosomal RNA (212 nucleotides) under uncultured bacterium. RNAcentral's name for it is "partial 16S ribosomal RNA". It matches the Rfam family "Bacterial small subunit ribosomal RNA", at positions 524 to 737 of the family's 1533-position model. The record is from RNAcentral.